CCUACGGGAGGCAGCAGUGGGGAAUUUUGGACAAUGGGCGCAAGCCUGAUCCAGCCAUGCCGCGUGUGGGAAGAAGGCCUUCGGGUUGUAAACCACUUUUGUCAGGGAAGAAACGGCUUUUUCUAAUACAGAGAGCUAAUGACGGUACCUGAAGAAUAAGCACCGGCUAACUACGUGCCAGCAGCCGCGGUAAUACGUAGGGUGCAAGCGUUAAUCGGAAUUACUGGGCGUAAAGCGUGCGCAAGGCGGCUUUGCAAGACAGAUGUGAAAUCCCCGGGCUCAACCUGGGAACUGCAUUUGUGACUGCAUGGCUAGAGUACGGUAGAGGGGGAUGGAAUUCCGCGUGUAGCAGUGAAAUGCGUAGAUAUGCGGAGGAACACCGAUGGCGAAGGCAAGUCCCCUGGACCUGUACUGACGCUCAUGCACGAAAGCGUGGGGAGCAAACAGGAUUAGAUACCCUGGUAGUCCACGCCCUAAACGAUGUCAACUGGUUGUUGGCGUNUGCUGUCAGUACGAAGCAACGNGUGAGUGACCGCGNGGNGCGCGCGAGUAGAAGUAAAGUAGAGUAGNGNGNGAGAGNGCGACGGACGACACGAGGGGAGGAGG
This 606-nucleotide ribosomal RNA is filed under the name uncultured bacterium. RNAcentral describes it as "bacterial SSU rRNA". The stretch from base 1 to 537 matches the Rfam family "Bacterial small subunit ribosomal RNA", at positions 338 to 873 of the family's 1533-position model. The record is from RNAcentral.